AUGGCCAACACUACAAAACUCAUGAAAGAAAGAGAAGAACAAAGUUGGAGCAGCUCGAUUACGCCACCGAGAUCUCUUCGGCGGGCCAAUUCCAGCCGACGGAUUUUAAAGCACCACAAGGUAAGCACCGGUCAGAUUCCACUGUUGCGAACCAAACACCGACCAAAUCCACACGUUGCUCCACUCCUUCCCACCGGAAUCACAGAUAAGAGAGUUUGA
Non-coding RNA from Vicia faba (fava bean), 219 nucleotides. Lineage: Eukaryota; Viridiplantae; Streptophyta; Magnoliopsida; Fabales; Fabaceae. The record is from the annotation of a GenBank genome assembly.